This 72-nucleotide transfer RNA is filed under the name Ovis aries (sheep). It matches the Rfam family "tRNA". From Rfam's summary of the family: Transfer RNA (tRNA) molecules are approximately 80 nucleotides in length. Their secondary structure includes four short double-helical elements and three loops (D, anti-codon, and T loops). Further hydrogen bonds mediate the characteristic L-shaped molecular structure. tRNAs have two regions of fundamental functional importance: the anti-codon, which is responsible for specific mRNA codon recognition, and the 3' end, to which the tRNAs corresponding amino acid is attached (by aminoacyl-tRNA synthetases). tRNAs cope with the degeneracy of the genetic code in two manners: having more than one tRNA (with a specific anti-codon) for a particular amino acid; and 'wobble' base-pairing, i.e. permitting non-standard base-pairing at the 3rd anti-codon position. Lineage: Eukaryota; Metazoa; Chordata; Mammalia; Artiodactyla; Bovidae. The record is from Rfam by way of RNAcentral.
UCCCCGGUGGCUCAGACGGUAAAGCGUCUGCCUACAAUGUAGGAGACCCAGGUUCAAUCCCUGGCUUGGGAA